RNAcentral lists this transfer RNA (72 nucleotides) under Medicago truncatula (barrel medic). It matches the Rfam family "tRNA". From Rfam's summary of the family: Transfer RNA (tRNA) molecules are approximately 80 nucleotides in length. Lineage: Eukaryota; Viridiplantae; Streptophyta; Magnoliopsida; Fabales; Fabaceae. The record is from Rfam by way of RNAcentral.
UCGUCAGUAGCUCAGUGGUAGAGUGGUCGACUAUUAACUGAUCGCUUGUAGGUUCAAAUCUUACUUGAAGAC